AAAUUGAAGAGUUUGAUCAUGGCUCAGAUUGAACGCUGGCGGCAGGCCUAACACAUGCAAGUCGAACGGUAGCACAGAGAGCUUGCUCUCGGGUGACGAGUGGCGGACGGGUGAGUAAUGUCUGGGAAACUGCCCGAUGGAGGGGGAUAACUACUGGAAACGGUAGCUAAUACCGCAUAACGUCGCAAGACCAAAGUGGGGGACCUUCGGGCCUCACACCAUCGGAUGUGCCCAGAUGGGAUUAGCUAGUAGGUGGGGUAACGGCUCACCUAGGCGACGAUCCCUAGCUGGUCUGAGAGGAUGACCAGCCACACUGGAACUGAGACACGGUCCAGACUCCUACGGGAGGCAGCAGUGGGGAAUAUUGCACAAUGGGCGCAAGCCUGAUGCAGCCAUGCCGCGUGUAUGAAGAAGGCCUUCGGGUUGUAAAGUACUUUCAGCGAGGAGGAAGGCGUUGUGGUUAAUAACCACAGCGAUUGACGUUACUCGCAGAAGAAGCACCGGCUAACUCCGUGCCAGCAGCCGCGGUAAUACGGAGGGUGCAAGCGUUAAUCGGAAUUACUGGGCGUAAAGCGCACGCAGGCGGUUUGUUAAGUCAGAUGUGAAAUCCCCGGGCUCAACCUGGGAACUGCAUUUGAAACUGGCAAGCUUGAGUCUCGUAGAGGGGGGUAGAAUUCCAGGUGUAGCGGUGAAAUGCGUAGAGAUCUGGAGGAAUACCGGUGGCGAAGGCGGCCCCCUGGACAAAGACUGACGCUCAGGUGCGAAAGCGUGGGGAGCAAACAGGAUUAGAUACCCUGGUAGUCCACGCCGUAAACGAUGUCUACUUGGAGGUUGUGCCCUUGAGGCGUGGCUUCCGGAGCUAACGCGUUAAGUAGACCGCCUGGGGAGUACGGCCGCAAGGUUAAAACUCAAAUGAAUUGACGGGGGCCCGCACAAGCGGUGGAGCAUGUGGUUUAAUUCGAUGCAACGCGAAGAACCUUACCUGGUCUUGACAUCCACGGAAGUUUUCAGAGAUGAGAAUGUGCCUUCGGGAACCGUGAGACAGGUGCUGCAUGGCU
RNAcentral lists this ribosomal RNA (1058 nucleotides) under Salmonella enterica. RNAcentral describes it as "bacterial SSU rRNA". It matches the Rfam family "Bacterial small subunit ribosomal RNA", at positions 1 to 1050 of the family's 1533-position model. Lineage: Bacteria; Pseudomonadati; Pseudomonadota; Gammaproteobacteria; Enterobacterales; Enterobacteriaceae. The record is from RNAcentral. RNAcentral also lists the same sequence under 1 other name.